RNAcentral lists this ribosomal RNA (200 nucleotides) under uncultured Prevotella sp. RNAcentral describes it as "partial 16S ribosomal RNA". It matches the Rfam family "Bacterial small subunit ribosomal RNA", at positions 156 to 355 of the family's 1533-position model. The record is from RNAcentral. Lineage: Bacteria; Pseudomonadati; Bacteroidota; Bacteroidia; Bacteroidales; Prevotellaceae.
GGACAGACUAAUACCGCAUAGUCUUCGAUGACGGCAUCAGAUUUGAAGUAAAGAUUUAUCGGUAAUGGAUGGGGAUGCGUCUGAUUAGCUUGUUGGCGGGGUAACGGCCCACCAAGGCGACGAUCAGUAGGGGUUCUGAGAGGAAGGUCCCCCACAUUGGAACUGAGACACGGUCCAAACUCCUACGGGAGGCAGCAGCC